Molecule: ribosomal RNA, 471 nt
Filed under: uncultured bacterium
Lineage: Bacteria
Description: bacterial SSU rRNA
Rfam family: Bacterial small subunit ribosomal RNA
Source: RNAcentral
UCGCGAAUCAUUCACAAUGGACGCAAGUCUGAUGAUGCCACGCCGCGUGCGGGAUGAAGGCCCUUUGGGUUGUAAACCGCUGUCAAGGGAGGGGAAACACCUAGUGUUAACAGCGCUAGGCUUGACUGCUCCCUAAAGGAAGCCCCGGCAAAACAUGUGCCAGCAGCCGCGGUAAUACAUGUGGGGCAAGCGUUGUUCGGAAUUACUGGGCAUAAAGGGUGCGUAGGCGGUUUGUUAAGUCACUGGUGAAAGUUUGCGGCCCAACCGUAAAAUUGCCUGUGAUACUGGCGAACUUGAGUGCGUGAGGGGUAGGGGGAACGAGCAGUGUAGCGGUGAAAUGCGUAGAUAUUGCUCGGAAGGCCGGAGCCGAAGGGGCCCUACUGGUACGUAACUGACGCUGAGGCACGAAAGCGUGGGGAGCAAACAGGAUUAGAUACCCUGGUAGUCCCUGAGCGGGCUGGCAAGGCGCAU